This 300-nucleotide unclassified non-coding RNA is filed under the name uncultured Pleosporales. RNAcentral describes it as "sequence contains ITS1". The stretch from base 1 to 105 matches the Rfam family "5.8S ribosomal RNA", at positions 50 to 154 of the family's 154-position model. Lineage: Eukaryota; Fungi; Ascomycota; Dothideomycetes; Pleosporales. The record is from RNAcentral.
GAAAUGCGAUAAGGAAUGUGAAUUGCAGAAUUCAGUGAAUCAUCGAAUCUUUGAACGCACAUUGCGCCCCUUGGUAUUCCAUGGGGCAUGCCUGUUCGAGCGUCAUUUGUACCCUCAAGCUUUGCUUGGUGUUGGGCGUCUUGUCCUCUUCUGGAGUACUCGCCUCAAAACAAUUGGCAGCCGGCAUAUUGGUAUGGGAGCGCAUCACAAGUCGCACUUUGUUCCAUGAAUGUUGUCAUCCAUCAGGACCAUUUUUUCACUCUUGACCUCGGAUCAGGUAGGGAUACCCGCUGAACAUAA